This 253-nucleotide ribosomal RNA is filed under the name uncultured Bellilinea sp. RNAcentral describes it as "partial 16S ribosomal RNA". It matches the Rfam family "Bacterial small subunit ribosomal RNA", at positions 524 to 776 of the family's 1533-position model. The record is from RNAcentral. Lineage: Bacteria; Bacillati; Chloroflexota; Anaerolineae; Anaerolineales; Anaerolineaceae.
CACGUAGGAUCCGAGCGUUAUCCGAAUUUACUGGGCGUAAAGCGCGUGCAGGCGGCUGGGUAAGUUGGGCGUGAAAUCUCCCGGCUCAACUGGGAGAGGUCGUCCAAAACUACCUGGCUAGAGGGCGGUAGAGGGAGGUGGAAUUCCCGGUGUAGUGGUGAAAUGCGUAGAUAUCGGGAGGAACACCAGUGGCGAAAGCGGCCUCCUGGACCGUACCUGACGCUCAGACGCGAAAGCUAGGGGAGCGAACGGG